GACGAACGCUGGCGGCGUGCUUAACACAUGCAAGUCGAACGGAAAGGCCUUUUCGGAGGUACUCGAGUGGCGAACGGGUGAGUAACACGUGGGUGAUCUGCCCUGCACUCUGGGAUAAGCCUGGGAAACUGGGUCUAAUACCGGAUAGGACCGCACUUUAGUGUGUGCGGUGGAAAGUUGUUUCGGUGUAGGAUGAGCCCGCGGCCUAUCAGCUUGUUGGUGGGGUAAUGGCCUACCAAGGCGGCGACGGGUAGCCGGACUGAGAGGUUGGUCGGCCACAUUGGGACUGAGAUACGGCCCAGACUCCUACGGGAGGCAGCAGUGGGGAAUAUUGCACAAUGGGCGCAAGCCUGAUGCAGCGACGCCGCGUGGGGGAUGACGGCCUUCGGGUUGUAAACUCCUUUCGCCAGGGACGAAGCGUUUUGUGACGGUACCUGGAGAAGAAGCACCGGCUAACUACGUG
Molecule: ribosomal RNA, 463 nt
Filed under: uncultured bacterium
Lineage: Bacteria
Description: partial 16S ribosomal RNA
Rfam family: Bacterial small subunit ribosomal RNA
Source: RNAcentral